AACGAACGCUGGCGGCAGGCCUAACACAUGCCAGUCGAGCGGCCCCUUCGUGGUCAGCGGCGGACGCGGGAGUCACGCGUGGGACUAUGCCCUUCUCUACGGAAUAGUCCUUGGAAACUGGGGGUAAUGCCGUAUACGCUCUGUGGGUAAAACAUACAACGUGCUAGGAUGAGCACGCGUUGUAUUAGGCAGUUGGUGGCGUAAUGGCCUAUCACGCAGUCGAUACAUAGCUGGGUUGAGAGGAUGAUCAGCCACACUGGGACUGAGACACGGCCGGGACUCCUACGCGAGGCAGCAGAGGGUGAUCUUAGACUACCGCGGCAAUCAUGAAGUCGCCAUGCCUGGAGAGUGAUGAAGUCCGUAAGGAUGUAAAGCACGUUCAGAUGGGGAGAUAAUGACGGUACCAGCAGAAGAAGCACCGGCUAACUCCGUG
This 433-nucleotide ribosomal RNA is filed under the name uncultured bacterium. Its description in RNAcentral is "partial 16S ribosomal RNA". It matches the Rfam family "Bacterial small subunit ribosomal RNA", at positions 29 to 507 of the family's 1533-position model. The record is from RNAcentral.